AUUGAACGCUGGCGGCAGGCCUAACACAUGCAAGUCGAACGAGUGGCGGACGGGUGAGUAAUGUCUGGGAAACUGCCCGAUGGAGGGGGAUAACUACUGGAAACGGUAGCUAAUACCGCAUACCAUCGGAUGUGCCCAGAUGGGAUUAGCUCGUAGGUGGGGUAAAGGCUCACCUAGGCGACGAUCCCUAGCUGGUCUGAGAGGGGGACCAGCCACACUGGAACGGGGACACGGUCCAGACGCCUACGGAGGGAAGCAGUGGGGAAUAUUGCACAUGGGGCGCAGGCCUGAUGCAGCCAUGCCGGGUGUAUGAAGAAGGCCUUCGUGUUGUAAAGUACUUUCAGCGGGGAGGCGUUACCCGCAGAGGAAGCGCCGGCUAACUCCGUGCCAGCCGCCGCGGUAAUAC
This 406-nucleotide ribosomal RNA is filed under the name uncultured bacterium. RNAcentral describes it as "partial 16S ribosomal RNA". It matches the Rfam family "Bacterial small subunit ribosomal RNA", at positions 29 to 526 of the family's 1533-position model. The record is from RNAcentral.